AGGCGGGCCUUGAUCCCACGAUAAAUUAAUU
Molecule: transfer RNA, 31 nt
Filed under: Anolis cristatellus
Lineage: Eukaryota; Metazoa; Chordata; Lepidosauria; Squamata; Anolidae
Description: partial tRNA-Asn
Source: RNAcentral